GCUCUGGCCGGGUGGUCCGCCUUUUGGCUGGUACUGCGUUCGGCCGGGGUUCACCUUCUGGCGGGCUGGGGGUUGCUCUCGGGCGAUUCCUAGACCUCCAGGACUUUUACUUUGAAAAAAUUAGAGUGUUUAAAGCAGGCUUACGCUUGAAUACAUUAGCAUGGAAUAAUAGAAUAGGACUUUGGUUCUAUUUUGUUGGUUUCUAGGACCGAAGUA
Molecule: ribosomal RNA, 216 nt
Filed under: uncultured fungus
Lineage: Eukaryota; Fungi
Description: partial small subunit ribosomal RNA
Rfam family: Eukaryotic small subunit ribosomal RNA (bases 86-216)
Source: RNAcentral